This is a long non-coding RNA of Oncorhynchus tshawytscha (Chinook salmon), 3746 nucleotides long. The record is from Ensembl. Lineage: Eukaryota; Metazoa; Chordata; Actinopteri; Salmoniformes; Salmonidae.
CGUGGUUUUACAACGUUUUCAGAUUUGAAGAAAAUGUCGGGAAAUAUGCAGCCGAAAUCCGAGGAGAGCAGAUACAAAUUAUGACACAAGUUAAGAAAAUGUUGAGCAAUGUAAUAAAGUAAUGACUUUGUAAAUGCAGAGCCUUCCGCUCUCUGAGCGUUUAGAGCGCAUUCUGGACGCUCUGGCCCAGGAGUAGGGUUGAUCUGAGCGUUCUGACCUCACAAUGGCAGUCAAGCACCCAAGCUAACUGGCUAACGUUGGCUAGCUUGCUAGCUACUUGAAGACAAAUAAGAGAACACCUCACUCUGAUAAUUUUACUCGCCCGAGCAGAGCUGGUUAGGCUGUUUUCAAGUUAUCCAGAGCGUUGAUGACUGUAACUGUGCUGCUGCCAACAAUUUAAUUACGAUGUUUACUGACAUAUUCAACAGGUGUUGAGAGUUCGUAAAUUCAUCAGUAUAUUCUGCGCUUUGGCACACAGAUGAGAGUGCUCUGAAAUCGGAGUAGAACUUCAGAGUGAAUUUACAAACGCAACCUAUUGAAUUGAUUGUUCACGCCAUUCUUAGCUUAGAUAAGUGGUAUAGUCGUUGUGCGUUCUUAAUGGACAUUGUUAAUGAAGUCGUAUGAUUUCUAGCUCGUAAUUUGUUGUGCUAACAAGCUAGCAAGAAUUUGCAUAGCAACAGCAUCAACUUCCGGUAGAUAGGAGAAGUGCUAGUAUGCUCAACUGAAAGAAUACCAUUAGUUUACAUUAUACUAAAAUUAACUAAUAGUAGGUUGUAUAUAAGUAUGUAGUAUACAGUAUGUUACAUGUAGUAUGGGUAUUGGAACACAACUACAGUCUUUUGUUUGGAGUGCUUCGUCCUGAUAACGUUGAGGGAGUGUGCACGCCUGAGCACGCAUAGAAGUAGGCUUACCUGACAUGUUACAUGCAAAUGUAGGAAAGUGCCCAUUUGGCAAUGUCUGAUUUCUGAUUGCCUUAACUCACCAUGUCCACCACAAAUAAACUGAGCUUCUCAGCCAUUUUUUCUUCACCUCACACAUUGUAAACUAAGUCUGUUUUUUUUUUACAUCCAUUACAAAUGAUAGUUUCAGUAUUUGAGAAAUCUUUCCAACUCUCCCGGCCUCGAUAAUCCCCAAGCCUCGGUGUGAGGGAAACUCUGAGGGCCCGGAAUAGGCUAGUUGAUACAAUAGAUCGGAUCCAGUUGAUGAAUUUAUGCAAUGUUGCACUUCACCAGUAAUAGUCUAAGUCACGAAAGAUAGAAAGGGAGGCAGACACCGGAAUAAAUAUGGUUUUCCUUAAACCUAUGCUCUCUGCGCCUGACUCCGCACCCACCACUCCUAGUUCCGUAACAUGCAUUCACGCAGAUGGGAAGCAAUUUUAGGAAAACUGUAAGCUUCCCCAAACUCUAAACUCACAAGCUGCCUGUGGUCUUUACUAUUGCACCCAGUUAAGGAAACCUAUACUAAAUAUGCAUUUUGCGGUGUUAGUGAACCCUUUAUUAGUCCAUAUUCCCUAUUAAAUACGGUUGUUGUGUGACACAACACUAGCCAUUCAUUUGUACUUGCACAAUCAUAUGUUAUAAUGGCAUAAGAUUCAAUGGCUCGUCUUAUAACAGUUCCAAUAUGUUAUUUCAUAUGAGCUGUUGGCCUAUCGAACUGUGUUAAAACCAAGGACAAAACCAAGUUUUUGUUUCAUGCUGUCAUUUGCCAACCUCAAUGUGUUUGCAAUAUUUUAUCAAUACAGCAAUUAAGAGUCAGCUGAUCAGAUUACAGUCACAUCUUCAGUAUUUUAUUUACUGGAGCGAGUCAGGAGAAAUGUCUCUACUGUAGUCUAUCCGCUGAUGUUCAGACUAGACAAUAUACGAAAAGAAAAAGAUGUUUACUUUCAUUACUAUGUCAAAUUUCUCCAAAUUACUUAAUAAAAAUGCCUUUGAAUAAAUUACAAGGCAUGUAUCACACAGUCCCAUAAACAAUUUAGGAUAGUACACUUACAAAGCCCCUCAGAAAGUUGUGUCUGCUGAAGCAAAUAAAGACACAGGCCAUAACCACUAAAACAUCAAUUCAUAUUCGAGUCUGUCUUUAUCAAUAUCUUUAUACUGAGUAAUGCACAUCAUUGACCAGGCUUUUUGUUUUGUGUCCUCCAGUCUUCAGUAUUGUACUUUGGAAAGAUAAUAAUCUACACCAGCAAUCUGCGGAUCAUCCGGGCCUAUCAGAGUGAAGGAAGGACAUGGAGACAUCCUCAGCUCCCUGGGGGAAUGGGCGAGUACUCACAGGGAGGCCCAAAGCCCUCUGUGCUCACAGGGAGGGGCAGAGCACCGAUCGACCGGACAAGCAAUAUACUGCAUCCAGCUGCCAGCAUUGUGGAGGUUCGGACUGUCCCCUGCUCUUUGUGCCAUGGCAGCUGUCCAUACUGGCCAACCACUUCAACGAGUCUAUCAGUGUGCUGUGAUGCCAGUCCUGCUACACUGAUGGACUGGAGAGGUGCCAGUCCUGUACCAAAUGACACUAACCACUGGCUGUGUGUGCCAAUGGUACUGCUGCAAUGAGAUAAUAUCACUGUAAUACAAAAUGCUUAUGAUGGGUAUGGGAGCACUGUGUAUGUUUUUGUAAGGAAUCAGAAUUCAAUUUUUGGAAAGGAAGGAUCCUACCAUACAUGCAGCCGGCUGAAUUAUAGAGAACAAUUAGUGUGUGCAGUGAAUAUUGCAUAUGAUAAGACAACAUAUUCACUCUUUUGGUGGUAGCUGGUGCAUCUGAGUCCCUACAAAAAUAACAUGCACCUCCAACUGGUUUCUUCAUGACAACAUGUCAUUUUAAGAAAAAUAUUGUAAAACCAUUGCAUUUUAUUUUAUCCACAAGGCAAGCUGUCCUAUCAUCCCCACAUUGAGAGAAAACUGCUUUUUAUCUCCCAUGUUAAGGUAAUUGAUGCUUUCAUUUUCACUAAGCUUAAUAAUGAGAGAGCGGGAGAAACUGACGGUAAUAAAUGGUGAUGGAGAGGCUUUUGGUCAGCUCUGGAGGUAGAAAGAAAUUAAUUUGUUUAUUGUCGUCCUAAUUCUGAGGUAAUUGCUUCCAGAGUUGUCUUGGGUGAAAAUGUAUAGAAUGGACUCGUGCCUUAUUUUAAUUGGCUCAUAUUAGUCAAUUAAAUAAUCAAUUUAAGUUUAUAGGCUCCUGUCUUUACUAGUAGAAAUGGAGAUACACGGGUUGUACAGCAAAUAUCCAUGAAAGACGUUUGUUGAUAUACAGUUGUUGCUGGAGGUUUCUUAAUGGCUUUAUCUCAGCUGAACACACAUAACUGUAGUGCCAAAAAGUCAGAGCUGGUCUUAUUCAUUGCCUCUCCUCUGUGUGGGGAAAUUGCUGCAUCAGAGCAUUGAGCUGCUGCUCUUACAGGGAAUCCUGCAGCAUGGAGAGCUACUGUAGCUGCAAUAAUUAUGUGAGGUUCUGUCAAAGCCUCAGAGGUGUGACUAAUUACCUCGUUAGCUCCCCAAGAAAUUGUAUUGAUCAAUUGUGUUCACCUGUAUUGUAUUUAAGCCUUGUUUCUUUUUGUUUGAGGGACGGCUGCCCACAGGAGGGAAUACAGGCCAGAGGUAUGGUUGUUUCAAGGAGCAUGGGGGUAAUGGAGUCUGAAACGUUGGAAGUUAUGGGAAAAAAGAUGGACUCCUACCCCCUUUUGUUUCUGUUCAAAUCAAAUGUUAUUUGUCACAUACACAUGGUUAGCAGAUGUUAAUGCGAGUGUAGUGAAAUGCUUGUGCUUC